This 467-nucleotide ribosomal RNA is filed under the name uncultured bacterium. RNAcentral's name for it is "partial 16S ribosomal RNA". It matches the Rfam family "Bacterial small subunit ribosomal RNA", at positions 28 to 506 of the family's 1533-position model. The record is from RNAcentral.
GACGAACGCUGGCGGCGUGCUUAACACAUGCAAGUCGAACGGAAAGGCCCUGCUUUUGUGGGGUGCUCGAGUGGCGAACGGGGGAGUAACACGUGAGUAACCUGCCCUUGACUUUGGGAUAACUUCAGGAAACUGGGGCUAAUACCGGAUAGGAGCUCCUGCUGCAUGGUGGGGGUUGGAAAGUUUCGGCGGUUGGGGAUGGACUCGCGGCUUAUCAGCUUGUUGGUGGGGUAGUGGCUUACCAAGGCUUUGACGGGUAGCCGGCCUGAGAGGGUGACCGGCCACAUGGGGACUGAGAUACGGCCCAGACUCCUACGGGAGGCAGCAGUGGGGAAUAUUGCACAAUGGGCGGAAGCCUGAGGCAGCAACGCCGCGUGCGGGAUGACGGCCUUCGGGUUGUAAACCGCUUUCGCCUGUGACGAAGCGUGAGUGACGGUAAUGGGGAAAGAAGCACCGGCGAACUACGU